RNAcentral lists this non-coding RNA (30 nucleotides) under Homo sapiens (human). Lineage: Eukaryota; Metazoa; Chordata; Mammalia; Primates; Hominidae. The record is from RNAcentral.
UUAGUGCAUGACAUGACGCUUUUGAAUAUG